CCUACGGGGCGCAGCAGUGAGGAAUAUUGGUCAAUGGGAGAGAUCCUGAACCAGCCAAGCCGCGUGAGGGAAGACGGCCCUGUGGAUUGUAAACCUCUUUUGUCAGGGAACAAAGCCGGGGACGUGUCCCGGGCUGCGUGUAUCCGAAGAAAAAGCAUCGGCUAACUCCGUGCCAGCAGCCGCGGUAAUACGGAGGAUGCGAGCGUUAUCCGGAUUUAUUGGGUUUAAAGGGUGCGUAGGCGGUCCGUUAAGUCAGCGGUAAAAUCGCGGGGCUCAACCCCGUCCCGCCGUUGAAACUGGCAGAC
RNAcentral lists this ribosomal RNA (305 nucleotides) under uncultured bacterium. Its description in RNAcentral is "bacterial SSU rRNA". It matches the Rfam family "Bacterial small subunit ribosomal RNA", at positions 338 to 641 of the family's 1533-position model. The record is from RNAcentral.